UUGGCUUAGAAGCAGCCAUCCUUGAAAGAGUGCGUAAUAGCUCACUGGUCAAGUGGUUCUGCGCCGACAAUGUAGCGGGGCUCAAGCGUACCGCCGAAGCUGUGGCAACAACACGCGAUGCUGGCGCCAGGAACUGGAGUGCUGGUGUGUUGUUGGGUAGGGGAGCGUCCUGCACGAGGUGAAGCCUGGAGGGAACUUCUGGUGGAUUGUGUGGGAGUGAGAAUGCAGGCAUGAGUAACGAAUCUGCGGUGAGAAUCCGCAGCGCCGAUUGACUAAGGGUUCCAGGGCUAGGUUUAUCCGCCCUGGGUUAGUCGGGUCCUAAGGCGAGGCCGACAGGCGUAGUCGAUGGACAACCAGUUGAUAUUCUGGUACCGCGUUAUGACCGCCCAUGCUGAAGUCAUUGUGCUAACCAAUCUGCUCACGCCGCCACUAAGCCUUCGGGUUUGUUGGUGUGUGUGGGUCUUGGGGCCCCGGUGAUUGUAGGCAAGCGUGUUAACAGGGGUGACGCAGACAGGUAGCUGCAGUGCGCCGAUGGUUGUGCGUAUUUAAGGUUGUGGCCCGUUCCUCAGGUAAAUCCGGGGGACACUAGGGGUGAGAACUGAUGAGGGACACACGCGUGUGUGGACUUGUGGUGAUCCUAUGCUGCCGAGAAAAGCCUCGACGUGAGGGCAUAACGCGCCCGUACCCUAAACCGACUCAGGUGGUCAGGUAGAGUAUACCGAGGCGUUCGAGUGAAUCGUGGUUAAGGAACUCGGCAAAAUUCCUCCGUAACUUCGGGAUAAGGAGGACCCCGUGACUUCCCCGUGCCUUGCGCGCGGUGUGGGGUUGUGGGGUCGCAGAGAAUAGGGAGAAGCGACUGUUUAUCAAAAACACAGGUGCGUGCGAAGCCGUAAGGCGAUGUAUACGCACUGACGCCUGCCCGGUGCUGGAAGGUUAAGAGGAACCGUCAACACUCCUUUGGGGUGUGAAGCGGUGAAUUUAAGCCCCAGUAAACGGCGGUGGUAACUAUAACCAUCCUAAGGUAGCGAAAUUCCUUGUCGGGUAAGUUCCGACCUGCACGAAUGGCGUAACGACUUCUCCGCUGUCUCAACCGCGAACUCGGUGAAAUUGCAGUACGAGUAAAGAUGCUCGUUUCGCGCAGAAGGACGGAAAGACCCCGGGACCUUUACUAUAGCUUGGUAUUGGUGUUCGCUUGGACUUGUGUAGGAUAGGUGGGAGACUGUGAAGCUGCCGCGCCAGCGGUGGUGGAGUCGUCGUUGAAAUACCAUUCUGGUUCAAGCGGUCACCUCAACCUAGACCCGUGAUCCGGGUUGGGGACAGUGCCUGGUGGGUAGUUUAACUGGGGCGGUUGCCUCCUAAAAUGUAACGGAGGCGCUCAAAGGUUCCCUCAGCCUGGUUGGUAAUCAGGUGGCGAGUGCAAGUGUACAAGGGAGCUUGACUGUGAGACCGACGGGUCGAGCAGGUGCGAAAGCAGGAACUAGUGAUCCGGCCAUGGCACGUGGGUGCGUGGUCGCUCAACGGAUAAAAGGUACCCCGGGGAUAACAGGCUGAUCUUGCCCAAGAGUCCAUAUCGACGGCAUGGUUUGGCACCUCGAUGUCGGCUCGUCGCAUCCUGGGGCUGGAGUUGGUCCCAAGGGUUGGGCUGUUCGCCCAUUAAAGCGGUACGCGAGCUGGGUUCAGAACGUCGUGAGACAGUUCGGUCCCUAUCCUCUGUGCGCGCAGGAAACUUGAGAAGGGCCGUCCCUAGUACGAGAGGACCGGGAUGGACGAACCUCUGGUGUGCCAGUUGUACCGCCAGGUGCAUGGCUGGUUGGCUACGUUCGGAAGGGAUAACCGCUGAAAGCAUCUAAGCGGGAAGCCUGCUUCAAGAUGAGGUUUCCACGCCCCCACUGUGGGGUGAGAGGCCCCCGCCAGACUAGCGGGUUGAUAGGCCAGAGGUGGAAGCACCGUGAGGUGCUCGUGAGCCGACUGGUACUAAUGGGCCAACACUAAACAAC
RNAcentral lists this ribosomal RNA (1997 nucleotides) under human gut metagenome. RNAcentral's name for it is "bacterial LSU rRNA". It matches the Rfam family "Bacterial large subunit ribosomal RNA", at positions 1101 to 2925 of the family's 2925-position model. The record is from RNAcentral.